This 1359-nucleotide ribosomal RNA is filed under the name Rathayibacter sp. RNAcentral's name for it is "bacterial SSU rRNA". Lineage: Bacteria; Bacillati; Actinomycetota; Actinomycetes; Micrococcales; Microbacteriaceae. The record is from RNAcentral.
AGCUUGCUGGGUGGAUUAGUGGCGAACGGGUGAGUAACACGUGAGUAACCUGCCCUUGACWCUGGGAUAAGCGCUGGAAACGGCGUCUAAUACCGGAUACGACCUGYCCCGGCAUCGGGUGCGGGUGGAAAGUUUUUCGGUCAAGGAUGGACUCGCGGCCUAUCAGGUAGUUGGUGAGGUAAUGGCUCACCAAGCCGACGACGGGUAGCCGGCCUGAGAGGGUGACCGGCCACACUGGGACUGAGACACGGCCCAGACUCCUACGGGAGGCAGCAGUGGGGAAUAUUGCACAAUGGGCGAAAGCCUGAUGCAGCAACGCCGCGUGGGGGAUGACGGCCUUCGGGUUGUAAACCUCUUUUAGUAGGGAAGAAGGGCUUCGGCUUGACGGUACCUGCAGAAAAAGCACCGGCUAACUACGUGCCAGCAGCCGCGGUAAUACGUAGGGUGCAAGCGUUGUCCGGAAUUAUUGGGCGUAAAGAGCUCGUAGGCGGUUUGUCGCGUCUGCUGUGAAAACCCGAGGCUCAACCUCGGGCCUGCAGUGGGUACGGGCAGACUAGAGUGCGGUAGGGGAGAAUGGAAUUCCUGGUGUAGCGGUGGAAUGCGCAGAUAUCAGGAGGAACACCGAUGGCGAAGGCAGUUCUCUGGGCCGUUACUGACGCUGAGGAGCGAAAGCGUGGGGAGCGAACAGGAUUAGAUACCCUGGUAGUCCACGCCGUAAACGUUGGGAACUAGAUGUGGGGACCUUUCCACGGUCUCCGUGUCGCAGCUAACGCAUUAAGUUCCCCGCCUGGGGAGUACGGCCGCAAGGCUAAAACUCAAAGGAAUUGACGGGGGCCCGCACAAGCGGCGGAGCAUGCGGAUUAAUUCGAUGCAACGCGAAGAACCUUACCAAGGCUUGACAUAUACCGGAAACUUCCAGAAAUGGUUGCCCCGCAAGGUCGGUAUACAGGUGGUGCAUGGUUGUCGUCAGCUCGUGUCGUGAGAUGUUGGGUUAAGUCCCGCAACGAGCGCAACCCUCGUUCUAUGUUGCCAGCACGUCAUGGUGGGAACUCAUAGGAGACUGCCGGGGUCAACUCGGAGGAAGGUGGGGAUGACGUCAAAUCAUCAUGCCCCUUAUGUCUUGGGCUUCACGCAUGCUACAAUGGCCGGUACAAAGGGCUGCGAUACCGUAAGGUGGAGCGAAUCCCAAAAAGCCGGUCUCAGUUCGGAUUGAGGUCUGCAACUCGACCUCAUGWAGUCGGAGUCGCUAGUAAUCGCAGAUCAGCAACGCUGCGGUGAAUACGUUCCCGGGCCUUGUACACACCGCCCGUCAAGUCAUGAAAGUCGGUAACACCCGAAGCCAGUGGCCUAACCGCAAGG